AUUCUUCAGAUUUUUUUCCCCAAAGGCCACCCCCUCCCAAAAAAAAAAAAAAUCCUUUCAAGCUGAAAGAUAGUAGAAUUUAGAAUUUUCAACCAAACGGGCAGGAAAAUCACAUGAGCCACCCCCAAAUCAGUGCAUUUUGAGUAUUUUUAAACCACAGCCAUUUGAAUACUGGUGGAGGGAGUAGACCCCUACUCACAAAACCAGAUUCCUCAAGCUGUUCCUGGACUCCAUUCAGAGUGGCGGAGAACCUUACUCCCGAAUGGAAAUUUCCUGUGUGAACCCCUCCCGUUCGAUAGGCAAAACCAAAUCCACGCAGGCAUCUUAAAGCGCUCUUUUGUCUUAACCUGAACACCCGGAGCGUCUUCAUGGUGACGUGUGUUAUCUCCAGUGCACGUAAGUUGUGGUACUUUUCCUGUAAAACUACUGCAUGGCCCACCUUCAGCAGUGAAGUGUGCCUCAUGGAGACCCCCUCGCUCUCUUAAGGUGACCUUUUCUUUAGCCAUGUACUGUUCACAUGGUGCAAUCUUUAGCCCCAGGGAGGUCAGUAAUGUCUUUUAAAGCCAGAAGUCCCAUUUUACUGAUAUGCAUUUCCCAUAAUUGGUGCUUAG
RNAcentral lists this long non-coding RNA (611 nucleotides) under Bos taurus (domestic cattle). RNAcentral describes it as "long non-coding RNA NONBTAT016715". The record is from RNAcentral. Lineage: Eukaryota; Metazoa; Chordata; Mammalia; Artiodactyla; Bovidae.